Molecule: non-coding RNA, 1379 nt
Organism: Lonchura striata (white-rumped munia)
Lineage: Eukaryota; Metazoa; Chordata; Aves; Passeriformes; Estrildidae
Source: RefSeq, a predicted model, not a curated record
CGGCAGCCGCGGCUCGGCAGCGCGGGAGGGAGCGCCGCCGGCCCGGGGCCCGCUAAGGACUCGGAGCGGACCUCACACUACUUCCAGUCUAGUUCCAGCUCCCGCCACCGGCUCCCACUAGACCAGUUGGUACCCAUUACUCAUGGUCCUGUCGCUACUGCAGCUCCUGACAGUCCCUGUCUGGCUUCCUUCAGAUACUGGAAGGUCGCCAUGAGGUCUUCACACAAACUUCUCCACGCCUGAAGAGCCCCAGCUUUCUCAGCCUGUUGUCAUAGGGCAUUUCAAGACCACCAACAGCAUAGCAACAGACCUUCAGAUCUUGAUGAACGAAGCUUGAGCCCAGACUCAACUUACACCUUUGUUAGGACAUGAGUCUAUAACAACCAACUUACAUCAUGUUGAAGGUAGGUAUUUAAAGGAGGUUUAUUUGGGCUAAUGCUAAAUUCAAACAGCCACAAGCUCAUUUUCCAUGUUUACCACACCAACUGCUGACAGAUGAAGUCUCAGUGGAAAGUCCAAAUUUUAAUUUCACCGUAACUUCCUGAAACAUGACUACAGAUUUCAAUAUUUGGCAUUUGAUCCUCGAGAGAGAUACCAUGUUUAAGAACAUUCUACCAAAUACAUUUAAAUUAUACUCCAAAACAAUUCGGAAGUUUUGAAACAUAAAACUGUUAGUAUGAAAUUAGUUUUUAUUUUUUUACCUCAAAAUAAAUGCACAUUUAUCAUUUAGUCAAGUGAAAACUGAGAAGGAGUAUCUUAAACAAGGGGGAACCUUAACAGAGCAAGUACCACAAACAUGCUCAAGUUCCUUCUCCUGCUCUUGCCCAGCUCUGUUUGGCUAAGAACACCAGAAUAAUUUCAAUUUUUCUUUCUUGUCAGUUUGGUCAAUUAAAAUAAACACUUAAAGCACCAGAAUCAGAAGUGGUAUAAAACAAAACCAGGUACUUCUUCUCAUCAGAAUUCAGGCCCAUGUGUUGCCACACUUUUUAUAUAAAACUUUCACUAAGUGUUGUACUAAAUAGGAUUUAGUAAUUUCUUCUGCAGUUUAGCUCUUGAUAUCUUGGUAAGAGAAGUCAAUGCAUAAGCAUGUCAGAAGUCAACGCUAUAGUGUAACUACAGUAUAACUCUAACAGGGCUUCUAAAUACUGUUCACCAGAGUGAUGUCUUAUAGUUGAAUUUCAGUUUCAACAGGUACUUCAGAUUUACCUGAGCAACAUCGUACACAAUAUAUCUGGGAAGAAUGUUAAGGAAUAAUUACAGCAGUUGAUAUUAAUGACACAGAAAAACUUCAAAACACAGUGAACUUUGAAUUUAAGUUAUCAUACAGAUGCCUGGGUGAUUAACCAAUUCUAAGAGCUCAAAUAAAACUUUAAAUCUGA